UUCAACUUUUUCAUCUUUUAAUUUGUUUGAAGACCAGAUCUCGUCCACUUGCUGCUUUGUGAAACUUUGGUUUUUUCAAUGUCUGUGAAUCCACUUAUUGAGCUUCAAGAGUAGGCAUCGGAUGAGUUAAGGAAGUCAAUGGACGCAGCAGGGGAAAGAGCAGAAACUGCUGACCGAACAUUGUAAGAUUACUGACUGUUGCAGAGCUCGAUGGAAGAGGUCAUUGGUUUGGAAGGUACUCUCUAAGGAUCUUUGGUGAAUUUCUGCAGUAGAUGGCUACUCAACAUCGGUAGUGGAGGGAUUUAAUAUUUGUGGAUCUGGAGCCAACCAAGCAGACUGCUUUUUCCUGCAUUUACUAUCUCAUUCAUUACCCUCUUCAAGAUCCCAGGAAGAAAUCUACCUGGACAUGGACACUUGUCAACCUGCAGCUCCAUGACUUUGCUGUGCAUUAUAUCUCUCAUGAUGAUUCUUCCAAAAUAGAAAACAUCCUCUCCAAAUGUACCCUGUCAAUACUCAGAAGUGUCUUAUAUGUUUCAAUCAAGUCACCUCUCAUUCUUCUAAAUUUCAUUGAAAGAAACCUAGUGUGUCCAACCUUUCAUGAGCUUUCCUGUUUAAGAGGUAUGUGAGAAAGUGAGUCAUAUCCAAUAUGCUGGAUUAAAGGAAACAGUGAUCCUCCAGGCCAUUGUUUAGAUCCAUACAUGUGCUGAAACCCCCCAGGAGAAUCUACAAAAAAAAAACUGUCCUCUGUACUUGGACUCAGAAGAAAAGGGAUUUAGAUUAGAUUUCCUACAGUGUGGAAACUGGCUCUUCGGUCCAACCAAUCCACACCGACCUUCCGAAGAA
Chiloscyllium plagiosum (whitespotted bambooshark) is the source of this 843-nucleotide non-coding RNA. NCBI's taxonomy places the organism in Eukaryota, Metazoa, Chordata, Chondrichthyes, Orectolobiformes, Hemiscylliidae. The record is from RefSeq and is a predicted model, not a curated record.